CUUUGUCCCCUCGUUUGUGGAGAUCUCCCUCCAUGAAUCAGAGGCCAUCCGGCGUCCUCAUAGUCCGCCCAUGACGGCUUGUACAAGCGCUCAUAUUUAAAAGCUCUUCAAUCUGAUCCGUUCUCUCGUAAACGUUCUUCCCUUUAAUAACGGCCGUAUUGUGCUGUGAAAACGGAGACGUGAGACUCUAAAGGACGUAGUCAGCAGACCAAUCACAGCCUGGUGCUGCAGGACGCUGCGUCGCUUACACGCUAGUCUAGAACAAUGGGUCGACGCACACAAGGAGGCGUGAAAAGACACGCAAGGGACACGCGAGGGACACGCGAGGGACACGCGAGGGGGUCUUGCGUCUGCGUGUCCUUGCGUCGCUCUGAAAACGCGGAAGCAUAAACUAGGUUUAACACUGAUUCUGAGGUCGGGCUCAUCUGGUUCAGCUGUUUUACCUCUAGUUUCUCUGGCAAAGUUCUUCUCUUGUACCGAGUUCGGGUCGGGUCUUCUUGAAGGACACUGCCGGUGGUCGCUCUUGUUAUGUUGUUAACCAGCGCGUCAGAGACUCACCUUGAUGACGGGCGGCGAAGGGCGAGCUCAAAUCUCAAUGUAUUUUAGGACGCUGAAAUGAUAAUGUCACUUAUUAACUUUAUCAUUGAUUGGCUAACUGCUUCUUAGACCCGCCUCCUUGGCACUGUGCCCGAGCCCAGCUGAGACUAGGAUUGCAACCUUUAGUACAGAAAAAUAAGGGACCCUACGCCCGACCGGGACGGGUGCAACCCUAGCUGAGACAUGCGGACAAGCGGCGAGGACGUGCAGGAAAAGCGCAUAUUUUGCGAGGUAUUUUCAAAUAUUAGCAGGUAUAUUAUCCAUGAUUCAAAACGACAAAAAGACAAAUAUUGACUAUUUAUAAUAUAUAAAUAUAUAUAACAAACAACAAAAAUUACUAUUAUAUAUAUACUAUAUUUUUAUUUUUUUUCAUCCCUCAUGGUGGGGCCACGCCCCAUUGCAGCCGCCACUGGAAGACGCCCCUUAAGUUCCUGCUUAACGGGGGGUUGGAGCUUCCUUUUUGCUUUUCCAUCCUCCACUUCAUCGUUGUACAUUAAAGAGCCUUCCUCUUGGGAUUUAUCUGAGAACGAGUCUGGGCCGGGAGUGAAACCAAAUAUUUAUUUAUGAAUUCAACCUCACUGAGUACAGUUCAUUCCUUAUAUUCAAUGAUAAUCAGUGAUAAUCAAUGCCAACAGGCCCCGGCAGAGGCUGUAAUUAUGUGUUGUUUGUGUGUGUGUGACAGCCUCGUCCUACGGCAACAUAGCAGAGUCGUUUCCUCCACCUCCCUUCAUCGUUGCUCGAAGAACAAAGUUUAUUAAAGUUCAGCUGCGAAUGCUGCAUGAAAAAUGCUAGAUUCAGGUUUUGUCGGGUGAGAGGGGUCGGCUACCAUCUUUUUAGCUGCUUCAGAGACCUGGAAGCGAACAAGUCCUCCAGGGACGGCAGAUUGCAGCCGAUCAGCCUCUCUGCAGAGCGGAGGACACGCUGCAGCCUGCCCUUGUCCUUGGCUGUGGCUGCAGCGUACCAGACGCUGAUGGAGGAGCAGAGGAUGGACUCCAUGAUGGCCGUGUAGAAGAGGACCAUCAUCGUCUUUGGCAGGUUGAGUUUCUUCAGCUGCCUCAGGAAGAACAACCUCUGCUGAGCCUUCUUGGUGAUGGAGCUGAUGUUCAGCUCCCACUUGAGGUCCUGGGUGAUGAUGGAGCCCAGGAAACGGAAGGAGUCCACAAUAGUGACGGGGGAGUCACACAGGGUGAUGGGGGAGGGUGGGGCUCUGUUCCUCCUGAAGUCCACAACCAUCUCCACUGUCUUUAGAGCGUUGAGCUCCAGGUUGUUCUGGCUGCACCACGACACCAGAUGGUCAGACUCCACCUGUAGGCGGACUCGUCCCCACCAGAGAUCAGUUCAAUGAGGGUGGUGUCAUCCGCAAACUUCAGGAGCUUGACGGACUGGUGGCUGGAGGUGCAGCUGUUGGUGUACAGGGAGAAGAGCAGAGGGGAAAGAACGCAGCCUUGGGGGGAACCGGUGCUGAUGGUCCGAGAGGCUGAGACAUGUUUCCCCAGCUUCACGUGCUGGAAUUUUUCUAUUUUUCUCUUGGCGACUUACAUAAGUGCUUUCAAUCAUGAGGGAACAGACUCUCAGCCGAGCUCAGGAUGGAGAAGCUGCUUCAUCACUGUGAUUUGAGCUUUCAGCAGAUGUCCAUGGCUCCAGCAGGAUGAACACCUGACAUUCUGUCCUACGUCAGGUCGACAUUUUUACCCGCGACGCCGAUAAGCCGGGUGGAAUUUAGUCUGUUGAUAUGUGUAAAAAGAAAAGCGGUGAAAAUAAUAAAAAGGAUUCAAUUAACAAACAGCCACCGCUAAGUUUAAUUAGCCUCCCCACUGCUCGCUAACGAGGAUGCUAACGAACCAGCGGCAAGCUCGUUUGUCGAGCUGGCGAAGGCUGGACAAAGCUGACGGCUGCAGGGGGGAGGAGGGUGUGAUUGGCAGGUCGCAGCAGGGGGCGGGGCUUUGGCUAAUUGCAAAGUUAAGAAACAGCAUGAGUUCAUGUUGUUGCACUUUUUGUUUCAUGGAAGCAGCGCCAUCGAUCGGCGUGUUGUUUACGUGUCCGAAUGAAGAAGAAAGGUUAUCAGGUAUUGACGAGUAGCUGAUGGGUUGUGACCUUUGGCUUCGCUCAGGGGGGAGAGGGCUCGGGGGGGCAACAGCCCAGCAGGAGACCGAAUAAGUUUAUUCCAUACUUAUUAAAACUCAACGGAAGGUCGUCAUAGAGCUGCACGUUCAGUUAAAGUGUUAACGUUUGCAUUAUGAGGCGGAUAUGGUUUCUUCUCUCUACUCGACUAACAGAAUGUACUGAGGAUGUGCCCCUGACCAAUGAAGAGCAUUGGUGAACAGAUAUUCCACACAGAUAUGUAGUGUUUUUAAGUAAAAAGAGCCUAAAACAGGACGGGUAAGUCGUGUUAAAACCUAUUGGUUAUUACAUUGAUAUUUUCCUGAACAAUAACACAUGCCUCUUCAUAUAGACACACUAAACCGUGGAAGUUGGGGAACAAACAAAUGAGUAAAUGAACAAACAGGAGCUCCAGACAGGAAUAUGAAACUUUAACAUGAAACAUCAUCACAGGUUAUGAACAUAUUCUUCAUUUUUCUGUUUCAAGACAACGACGUGAACGUCUUUAAUCCCGCCUCUUUGUCUAAUUGGUCGAGAUGUUUUCCAUCACAAGCAGGAUUUGGACUAAUAGUAGAAGUGCAGGAGAAUCAGAUCGGUUUUAUGAUGAAGCUGAGGACUCUCACCAUGUGACUGAUCACAGGUCAUUUUCUGUCAUUCGGUGAUGCAUUCAGGACGACUAAGGAGCUGAUGGUGAAGUCACAUGACCAUGUGCUUUCUGGGUUAGAGGAUCCACUGAGCUUCUUUCUCUUUGGUUUCCUCCGUUCUGCACCUGUCGGCAUUGACCUGAAUGUCUGAGGGACAUGAAACCAGCUGGUGUAGUGAGUGCCCCCCCCCCUACACACACACCACUAUGACACUGCCCACAGAGGAGUCAUUGGGCUCUGCCCCCCCAACAAGCACCUGUAUUCCAUUUCUCAUCUGGUCUCGCCGGAGAGCUCUAAGCCUUGUUUUAAUCCUCGCUAGAAAACAGCUUUCAGAGGAUUAGCACCGAGGGAGGGGGCUCCUUUCGCCUCCUUCUUCUCCCCUAGACAAGUUAACCUUCCACACAGGACUCUGCAAAGGCUUCCACUUUUAUCCCGCCUUCCUUCCCGUUGAUACCCAGUGGCCUCCGUUACAGCCCCCCCCCCUAAAGCCGUAACUUCACUGAGUAGUUCCACGCUAUCUGGAGGAAGUCGACCUCCCCGUAGUAGAGCUACUGUGUGAGGUGCAGGUCAGAACCCCCCCUUACAAUACGUAUGUUGGGGGUGGGUGUAUUAUUGUUCCCCAGUGGGUGUUUAUGUGUUGAUGUGAACAAAGACAGGAUUAUUCCGUUAAUGUGUGUGUGUGGCCACGCCCCCCCGCGGCGAGAUGGUAAAUUUAACUUGUUUCUUCUUCUUCUUUCUGUAAACCCUGUUAACGGAGCGUCUUGACAUGUUUUAGGAGCAACGAGAGAUGAAAGCAGGAAAAGUGGCUCCUGUUCCUCCACGUUCCCAUUGGACGGCUUGCCUGCCGCUCUUUUGUCUGGGAACCAGGGAAGACUCCUCCCAUCUGAGCUUUGUGAAUAGCUGCCGCUGAUGACCGGGAAGAAGCCUUAACUGAUGUGGGUGGAUGGAACCCGCUCAUGAUUAGCCUAGCUUAGCACAAAGGAAACCCCCUUUUAGCAACUCAAAGUCAGCAGAUGGUGAUGAUGCAGACGGACCUCAGCAUGUUUCUAUGAAGGUGAACCUUCAUUCACCUUCUCAUCCAUAGGUUUGCUAAUUCCACCUGGGCUGUCAGAAGUAGGCACAGCUCUCUCCUCAUUGGACACCAGGAAAGAAGGACAUCGUGGGGGUCGUCGUGGCGCAGGGGUAGAGAGGGUGCACUGGGAACUGUAAGGUUGGUAGUUCGAGUCCUGGCUGCCCCAUGUCCAAGGUGGAGUGUCCUUGAGCAAGACACCUAACUCCUAAUUGCUCCCUGGGCAAAAACGUAAGUCGCUUUGAAUAAAAGCGUCAGCUAAAUGACCUGUAAUGCGAUGUGAUGGUCAUUCUCUCUUUUAGAUCCGGCUGGGUCUCCACCGGCUCUGGAGACUCUCCACCUUCUCCCCCAGCUCACCUUGAUUACAUCACAUGUCAUUUAGCUGACGCUUUUAUCCAAUGUAUCAGUGAAGUUUCAAUGGUGGAACAGCAUUGACAGAAACGCUUCAGGUAAAGCUUUUUGAGAAGAACAUUGUCUCAAACGCCUCUGAAAGGUCUUUUCUUGUUUCUGGAAAGCGUCAAUCAAAGCGCUCCAGCUGAUUUUUGUUGAAUUUCUUUAAUGUUUUUACAACGUUUUGUUGGUUUUUACUCAUCGGAGUGAAAUGAUGUUUUCUCCUUCACAAGCCUCCGUCACACUAAUCAAUCUGCUGUUAUUCAAACAUUCUCCGAUCCCUGUUGCGUUAUUUACAUUUCAGAAGGUACAAAUGACACGGGUCAAAGCGUCUGGAGGAAACCGGAAGAUGUUUUCUCUCUCCGGGUGGAGGCGGAGGACGGGGAUUAAAUGGGGCUUAUUGAUCGUGGAUCAGCGGUUACUCUCAGACGAAUGCGUUCAUGGUUGCAUUCAGGGGGUUAAGCACUGAAGCUGAGCUGGAGAAGCAGCAGACAGUUAAUUAUUUUGACUGUUCACCUCCGGCUGCACAAAAGAAAAAAGGAGCUGAGCCUUUUGUCUGCUGGUAGACGCCACGUGCUAAAGGUUGGUAGACCCACGGUGGUUGUGACAUUAAUACUUAAUUCUAGACACUACGGUUUAAUAUCAGCAUUCCUCACACUGUGCUGCCCCAACAUGCUCAGGUACGCGUUCUGCAUUGUGUCUUUACAGACAUGAUCAAAAUGACGUUGCCAUGGCGACCUGCUUUCACAGCUUCCUUUUGUUAGUUUCUCUGUUGAUAAUUUUGGGACUGACCAUUGAAGUCGAGGUUUUUACUGUUUGAAUUUGGUGAACUGUCCAAAGAAAGCGAGAUUAGUGCUGAUGGUGACGGAUUAUGUAUCUGAGCCUCGCUAAUCGAAGCCAGGAUGCAAAUCAAUCUGCACACCGAAGGCCCCCUUCUACAGGAACACAUUUCAUUUCUUGAUCCAGCUCCAGAUUUAAGAUCCCCCUUCUUUUCAGUGUCAACAUUGUCAAACAUUUUCAAAGAGCAUCUGAAGAGAACACAGAACAAGUGUUGACUGAAAAGGAGAUUUACUACUCCUCCUCCUCCAGAGAGCCUUUUGUGAGGAGCGAAGAAAAGACCGAAAUAAUCUAAUCCUCUAAGCAGGAGGAACACGACCGAGAAGAGACAUGAAACAGAAAAUUCAUUUAUCUGUCUGCUGAAUGAUGACAAGACAACAACAACAACAUCAACAACUACAUGGCCUCAGGACACAAGCAUCAGCUGGAUGAAAAGAGUUUUUUUAUUUUUACAAACUUUAUUCAAACAAAGCGUGAAACAGGACCAAAACAGUUAUUCAUGCAUCAAAACGACAAAGCGUAAAACGCAGCGUUAAAUAUCCACUCGUCUCCAGACACGCAACACAUCACCUCCGUGUAGCACCGUUUCUGAACCAAAUCCAAAUGUUAUUCAUUCUUUUAAAAGAUGUAACGCCACGUGGCUCUGCUGCUGUGGAUGGUCAGCGUGGCCUCUCCUGUCACCAGGACCAGCAGUGACACUUAUAUAUUCAUACAUAUAUAUAUAUAUAUAGAUCAGAUCUCAAUGUGAAAACAAGGAUAUUGGAUAUCUAUACUGAUAUGAAUAGUUUAAUGCCUUUAAUAAAAAGAUCCCAAAUCUUUUCAUGGAAAUAAAAAGGUUUGAGGCUACAAGGGGCUUAAUUUUAUAGACAAAAAUUAUGAAAAAUUAAAAAAAAUUAUGUCGCAGUCCAUUUUGCCAAAAUUCAGUUUCUGCAAUUCAAAAUGCUUCUUAAUAUCUUCAUCAUGUGGCCGCCAGUUGACAAUUUGCGUUGUUUGCAACCAUUUGUGUGUGCAUUGACUUUGCAUGGAAUCCAAAAAAUGUGCUUACCCUUUGGCGUGAACGCAGCAUAAGCAGACGGAGUUCACGGAGGCAUCAGAUGAUCUCUGCGGCCUUCCCUCUUUGAAGAGAUGAAGACCUUGUGGUUAUGAAUUAGUCUGGAAUAUUUAUUGUUUGUUAACAUCCUUCAAAACGUGUGUAUUUAUGCUAAAUUGCUUUGAUCAAAAGCCGUCGCCAAAGAAAUCAAAUUUCUUUUAUCUUCAGUGAAGGCAUCAGGCUUCUAUCUUUUCAUUAACUUAAAUGAAGUGCUAAUUAAAACAUUCCGGUUGUACAGAAUUGUUGAAGGUUGAGAAAUAUAAUUUCAGACUUUGAGCUGAAAACAUGAAAAAGAAGUCAAACAAGAAACACUCAUCAAAGAUGAAUGAAACAAAGGACACAUUUAGAGAAGCUUUGGGAAACUGGUUGAUCUCAGGUCCUCUCUUCUUCUCUCCAAAGAUCUCAGGUCCUCUCUUCUUCUCUCCAAAGAUCUCAGGUCCUCUCUUCUUCUCUCCAAAGAUCUCAGGUCCUCUCUUCUUCUCUCCAAAGAUCUCAGGUCCUCUCUUCUUCUCUCCAAAGAUCUCAGGUCCUCUCUUCUUCUCUCCAAAGAUCUCAGGUCCUCUCUUCUUCUCUCCAAAGAUCUCAGGUCUUCUCUUCUGCUCUGUCCACUUAGCAUGGCAGCACUCCCCUGAGGAACGGAGGCCUCUGAUAGGUCUAAUGUUUCAGGUCUUCCUGCAAGAAAAUAUGCUGAAUUGUUGAAAGCAGGAGACAAAGCGGACGCCCUCAUCCCGCGGAGCCGCCAGAAGCGUCCUCCAUGCUGACAUGUCAGAGGAGGCUGAUUGGCCGUCACGUCGAGCAGAAAUAAAGAGACGUUGAUGAUUAAAUUUGCUGGCAGUCGGCGCAGCAGAAAACCGUUGUCUGUUUUUACAUUGUUAGUAAUCCUGUUAAUGGAAAGUGUGCUGCCAGAGACGGGGGACGGGGACGGGACGGUUGUUCCUGCGCCAAAAUAAAACAUUCGUUGAGCCGUGAAUCGGUUGUUUGAUAGCAGCAGAGCGAGUCCCCUCUCAGUCCUGGUUCUGGUUCUUCUGGACUGAAUAUAUUAGAUAGAAAAGAUUCAUUUAACUGAAUGAAGUUUCUUCUCUGAGAUUAAAACUAUAUAUUCACGACAAUGACAUCAUGACUUCAAUGUGAUAUCAUAUUUAAACCUUUUAAUUAUCAUUUAAAGUGGCCUGUGUAAAGACACAUACGUAUGUAUAUUUUUUCAGUUUGUUAUUGAUUAUUAUGUUUAUUUGAUUACUACAUUUCAUACAGAUGUUUAUUAAAAAAACAUUGUCAUUCAGUAACAAACAAACAGAUCUCACUCAUGCUGCAGAAGAAACUCAUUUUUUAUCUCGGUAUUAUUCUGUGAAUCAUUUCCUUCUCUAAUGCGAGUUCUGCUUUAGAAUUUGACAGUUCAUCUGCUUUCGGUUAUUAAUAGAAAAUAAUCUUAAACCUAUAAGACUUCAUUCAGGAAACAUAACCUGACCCGGAUAACACGCUGUAUCAUAUUUAAUAUGGAAGCAGGCACAAAUAUCUCAGUCUCUCAGAAUGUGAAGCCUCCAAGAUGGUGUGUGACAGACGGAGGGACAAGUGAUGGACCAGUGCCGCCCCCCGCCCCCCGUAGAGGGCCGCAGUGCUACCAAUGGCUAAUUAAUAAAAAUGAUCUGACAGAUGGUGCUGCGGACUAUUUCCCCCCACAGGACGGCGAGGAGACGAGCCGCCGGCCCGGUAAGGAACAACGCUCUGGUCCCGUCUCUGGUCCCGCCCCAUCAGAGGGAGGUGGGGGCAUUAAUGGAGGAUUGGAAGAGACAAAGAGGAGGAGAUUGUUGGAAAAAUGUUGCUCCUUCCCUUUGGACGUGAUCUGAUCGCAGGCUGCUUUUAUUGGCUUGUGGAAUAUUGGUGGAGCACAGGAUUAGAUUUGCCCCCCCGCCCCACCUUCCUCCCUCAGCUUCUACCAUGGAGCCUCAGAAAAAGCAGCUUUGGAUCGAUUCAGAGGACAAAAAUGGGAUGACGGAAACAUAAACAGAUUAUAGACCACUGAAACGGCUUCAUUUCCAGGCAGGGGACAAACCCACAACCCCCCCCCCACACACACACACACACACACACACACACACACACACACACACACACACACACACACACAGCUUUAGUUCUUCUCCAUCCCCACUGCACUUUGACAUCAAACACGUUUAUUGGACAUUAAGGAUUAUUACUCCUGCAAAGUUGUUUGAACUCUUUGGUGGAGCACAUUUUGGUCCAGAUCUUCUACGCAGGCCCACUUCAUACAGACGGGUUUGGUGGGGAUUCUUUGGCGCCGGUACUCUUAUCAAUGCUCUUAUACAUCCGGUUCCUUAAUUAAAAAAUCAAGAACUUGAUCAACAUUUGGAAAAAAAAAUGUGCCCCUUUAAAUGUUUUAUUAUACAAACGUUGUUUGGCUCGAUGUGUCUCUCAGUGAUGAGAUGUCCUCAGUCUCACGGCUGUAGUGAAACAAUACGCUCAUUCUCAUUUCUUAGAAUGUAAGAAAGUUUCUUUUAAUUCCAUCUGUAGAACCGCUCUGCCCUGUAUUUUUUAAUUUUUAAUUUAAUAUUAAUAUACUGUUAUUCGUCAAUACAGUUGAAAACUGUAAAAUAUAGCAGUUGACGUCUUGGAACAAAAUAUUUUUUACAGCUGUUUAAAGUUGCGGUAUAGUACUGCAUUUAAUCCAUUGACUCUAACUCCGCCCACUACUUGCAUCAUAUAAUCACUGUAGCAGCUGCAUGUAAGUUUAUGUAAGUAUAACUUAGAUAGAUAUGUCUAAUAUAUAUUACAUAUUUCUAUAUAUCUAUAUAUGCAUGUGAAUUUCCCCAUUGUGGGACUAAUAAAACCAAGUCACAGCAACCCAACCGCCAAGUCAAAUUCCUUGUAUGUCUGACAUAUUAUGGCAAUACAUUUCUUGAUAUAUAUAUAUAUAUAUAUUGAUGAGCCACACCUGAGCCGGGGUGGCUCGGCCUUAAAGAUCCAUCCAUUCAGAAACCGGGGGUUCACUGAGAAGAAGACCUGGGGGGUAUUCCAGAAAGCAGGUUUAGUGUAAACUCAGAGUUUGUUAACCCUGAGAUGAGGGAGGUAACUAAAGCUCAGGCUCAGUCUCCAUGGUAACUGAGCCCGUGAACAUCACCUGGUCGCGAGCAGGUUUUCUUUCUCCCUCCACAGGCUCCUCCCUCUGACAGCAGCCCAGCCAAUCACACAGCGCGCUUUACUUUCCUCAUUCACUCUGUAUCAGUUUACACAUAUGAACAAAAUAAGAUGUUACAAUCGCUAACAAGCGUUUGUCCAAACAGUUGUCACAUUUUAAAAACUCUAAACACAAUUAGCACAGCAUCGGUGUUUUGUGGCCAAACAAACACAUUUCAUGUCGUUUUCACACAAUAUGCAGUCAGUGAACACAUGUCCACAAUGCUUACAUUUGUCUUAACAGACAAGCCAAACCUCCCAACAAAACCAUGGAUUGUUUUAGUAGUAUUCACAAAUGUUAACACACACCAUCCCACAAUAGCAAAAACAAUAUUCCAAACCGUAGAUACAGUAUAAAAACCUCGGCUUCUGCAAUGAUAUCAGUUCAAAAACAAUAUAUCUUAGCUGAUAAUGAACAAACUAUUGAAUAAUUGACACACAGCUGAUUUAUGUUGGGUAAAUUGGGCCAACAACAGCUGAUUCCAGUCUGGCUUAUUUAAGGAGGACUUUGAGGAGUGAUGUUUUUGGAAACAGAAAAAGACAAACACUGUAAUGUCUGGACGAGGAAGAGGAAGAGCAAGGGGCCCAGGGAGAAGACCAGGUCCAGUGAGAGGUGCAGGUGCAGAAGGAGGUGCAGGUGCAGGAAGAGGAGCAGUGAGAGGUGCAGUAGGAGCUGCAGGUCCAGUGAGAGAUGUAGAAGGAGGUGCAGAAGGAGGUGCAGGUGCAGGAAGAGGAGCAGUGAGAGGUGCAGUAGGAGCUGCAGGUCCAGUGAAAGGUGUAGAAGGAGGUGCACUGAGAGGUGCAGGAAGAGGAGCCGGCCCAAGGAGAGAGCAAGGUAGAGUUGUAAGAAUGAGUGGUGGUGGCAUUCCAAGGGCUGCAAGAACUGUAGUCAGUGAUGAAAUUCGUGCCACUAUCAUUGACCAUGUAAUCAACCACGGUCUCUCACUAAGAGUCCAACCCCCCAGUUUGAGUCGGUUGCCUCCAUUAUUCGUAUCUUUCAACAAACCAACAGGUAAGUAUUGCAUUUUACAUGGUUUGUUUCUAGUCUCAUUUGACAUGUCAAUAAGGUCAUACAGUAAUGCAUUUGUUGAUUUUUUAUUUUUUUUUCUCUAAAGAAUGCAACGUCUUCCACCUUCUGGGGGAAGAGGAAAGCUCCUCAAUAAUGAUCAAGAGCUUCCCAUUGUAGAAAUGGUUAUUGCAACUAAUGCAAUUAAACUGCAUGAAAUUAAAACUAGAAUUGUGGAGGACCAUGAGAUAUUUGCCAAUAUAGAAAGCAUCAGCCUCACAACCAUUACGCGGACAUUGUCCAAACACAGAGUGCGGAUGAAGCAGCUCUACACUGUUCCCUUUGACAGGAACAGUGAGAGAGUCAAGGAGCUACGACGACAAUGUGUCCAGGUAUAGUGUGUAUUCAAUUCAAUGUCCAGUUAUAUAAGCUUUGCACUUUGCACUUUAUUUUAUUUUAUUAUACUGUUUCUACUGUACCUUCUUUGGUAAACAGUUAAGAAAAAAUAACUGAUUUGCUUUUUACUGGAAUGCGUUUAAAUGUGAACAUUACUGUACAUGUGCACAUACAGUUCCAAACCAAUACAUUUAGUGUAAAUGGUGCAUUGCAUGUUACUUGAAACAUAAAAGUCUAUGCAAUUUUUAUAUUGUCAACAAUAGCCAGAAUUUUGAAACCUGGUGUACUUCGUUUGACUACAUGUACCUUGUGAAGUGAAAACAAAUGUUAUUCUUUGACAGAAUAAUUUCAUUUUGAGUCAAUGUGUCCAGUGUUUUGGUAAAGUUAGUGUGUGCAGAGAAAGAUGUGUUCUGUUUUGAAAUUAAGAGUUGGUAUAUAUUUAACAAAAUGUGUUUUUGAGAAGCAAAUUAUACAUUUGGCCAAUUGUGUCUUGUAGGUGUGAGUCUGUUAAGAAUUUAGAAAAGAAUUCUGAAGUAUGGGUAAGAGCUUGUUAGCGAUUGAAAAAAACUGUAAAGACUAAAGUGUUUUCUGGAACACGUCACGUCCUUUUCUGGACGAUCCUGUUGAUGAAGAAGUGCUUUUACUUCGCAGCGUGUUAAACACGUCAGGAGAGAAUAUUGAGGCCCGAUUAAAUAUAUGACAUGAUAUAAACAGAUGACUACUUGUUUGAACAGUAUCGUUUUUCUUCACAGUCCAUCAAAUAUGUACAUGACCUCACCCGUCCUCACAUAACGAACGUCCCCCAUCGUGGACGUGCUCUCAAAUCUAUAUAUAGAUACUUUUCAAUUCAUUACAAUCAUACAAUGUGUUUUAUUGACACUUUAUGGUACAUUUAUUAGCAAUUAUUGCUGACCACUUUUCCAUCUUGCUCCUCAUCUCGUUGACUGGCAGACGGUUGUCAUGGUAACGUAACAUCAGGUCCGGAGCUGAUUGAAGAGGUCAUGAAUCCUGCCGUGUAUUACAGUUUUUACCAACUGCUUACACACGUUUUUAAAACUUCAAAAUGCCAUAAACACAUUUCAAAAUAAAGCAUUUGCAUCAAAUGGCAAACACUUCUUUCAUAAUAAUACAUUUUGGGAUAUACCAUGUAAACACUGCUGUUCUAAAUCUAAAGCUCUUUGGUCUUUCAUAGGCUUAUAUCGCAUUGUAUACAAUGUUCUACAGUGAAAGUGGCGUGCUGAGAGGGGUAACAAGUACACCAGAAACCCCAAUCCGAUGUAGAAACAGAAAAUAAUUACGUAUUAGGCUAAACAUUACUGUUGUAUACAUUAGCAUACAACAAAACUAUAAACAUGUAAACUAAAAGUAUAUUCUUUACAGUAUAAUACAGUGAAUUGUGUGUGGGGUUCCGGUCCAGGGGGGCAGAGGGGGUGCAGUCCCCAGUGCUCCAUCUCUUCUCCGGGUCUGGCCACAACACUUCGGCCACAUCACAAGAUACGUUUUGUCUUGCCAAACAUGGAGGGAAGUAUCUCCUAGCAUAGCGUAUCCAACCUUGGACAGAGGCCACUUUUAUGUCCCCACAUGCGUCCUCCAUUGCCUGGGGAAGCGGCGUGCGGGCUUAGGGUUGGCGAUCAUACACUUUCCAGCGCCGGGCUGAGAAGAAUUCCUCUAUGGGAUUUAGAAAAGGUGAAUAUGGGGGUGGGUACAGAACUACACAUUGUGGAUGGGUGGCAAACCAGUUUUGAACCAGACCAGCCCGGUGAAAACUAACAUGGUCCCAUAUAACCACAAAUCUAGCAGGCAUCACAACAAGCAUUGUGUGAAUUUCAUCCAGAAAAGUGAGUAUGUGGCCGGUGUUGUAUGGACCCAGUGUGGCGUUGUGAUGGAGGACCCCAUUUUGAGUGAUGGCAGCAUACAUGGUUAUAUCACCCCCCCGCUGUCCCUAUUUACAGGCCCACUAAAGCAGUGAUUAGUUAGUGAUCAGUUAGGCAAUUAGUGUUUGCACAGUGAGGAGUGUGUCUGUGUGACCUGGUAAAUAAGUGUAGCAUUUUGAUUGGUUGUGUUUGGAAAAGGAAAGCAAGUCACUUCCUGAUAGAUCUUUGUCUUUUAGGUAGAGAAUUGUGUGUAGUGUGUUUUGAAAAAAGUGUUUUAUGCCAUUGAAAACUGAGUCAAAAGCUGAGAAAUAGCUUAUGGUUUUGAAGAUUUGGCAGGUAGCACUUUGAGUCGGAGGUUUCAAAAAUCGUGUGACAUGAAAAUAUUUUGUGUGUAAGCAGUUGGUAAGAACUGUAAAAGACGGAUUGGACAUCGACCAAUCGUCUCGGCCGACAUGCUUGGACAGCGGAGUCAUGAGGUGGGGAGGAAGAUGACGAGGAGGGGAUUGAUACGCCAGCGUGUCUCGUCGGCUGAGAGGCCGGUUUAGCCAGUGAACGAGCCAAACGGACCCAUUGUCAUGGUUACAGGCGUAAAUUAACGUUCCGCCCUAGUUGAUCCAUUCGGAUCUAAAAGUGAUGGAUGAGCCUGAUGGACUCUAUCACUUCUUCUCCUGGAGACCGGAUGGAGAACAUUUUAUGUCUCCCUUAGUGGAGAGGCGGGGGCUGUGGGCCGAGGACGGGGGAGGAUACUGAGUUAAAACGUAAAACAUGUUUCAAGUUGUUUGGUGUUGUUUUACCUUUUGGUUUUUCUAAGUUGUUUUAAUGUUGUUUCACGUUUUUCACGUUUUUUUCACGUUGUUCUGCGGUGUUUCAGGUAGGGGUGGAGGGCUGAAACAGCAGUAUCUUCACCCCCCUGUGUCGCCGUAAACUCGCCUUCCCGACCUCCUUUAGUUCUGGGUAAACUUCACCUCUUUCAUCUUCCUCCGUUAUCUUGCUAAGGAGCAGUCUGUUGGUUUAACGUACUGGGGCUUCUGGGUAAAUAGGAGCUGCACGUCUUUGACUUCUCUGUGUGUCUCGUCCAAACAGACAUCGGGUGACAUCAGGGGGGGUCACUCGUCUCACCUCUCUGAUUAUCAAAUUUACCAUCCAGGCUUUUCAUGUCAAACUUUUAAUUCCCAUUUCAAUGGUUUUAUUGAACAAAUAUUGAGUAGACUAUGUUGAUUUGGACGGUGAAUGAAGCCAUUAGCCAAUCAUUGUGACAUCAUUUCUUUAUGACUAGAACAGUGACCUCAUAGCUCUGUGUGAGGUCACUGUUACAUUACAGGUCAUUUAGCAGACGCUUUUAUCCAAAGCGACUUACAUUACACUUUAAACCCGUGGCUUUUUUCACAUUUUUGCCUGAGGAGCAAUUAGGGGUUAGGUGCCUUGCUCAGGGACACUUCGACAUGGAACAUGGGGCAGCCCGGACUCGAACCACUAACCUUGUGCUUCCCAGCACACCUUCUCUAACCCUUGCGAUUCUUAAAUAUUCAAAAGAGAUGAAUCUACAAUUGAGAGCCUCAGAGGCCGGUGGGACUUCAACAUUUUUCAACCCCCCCGAGCGGAAGAUAAGUGGCUUGGCUGAACGACAAGUUGCAAUUGACUCAAAAUCCUCUGUUGCAAUGCAGACAAAGGGGUCAUCUAUUACCUCCCCACGCCCCUGCGUCCCCCUCCUCGACCCGUCUUUGGCGGUCACCUGCUUAGGAGCUCUGGGGACAUGGAGGAGCCUUGCUCCACUUCUCCGGGGCCGGGGGCUAAUUGGUGGAUGCACCAGGGAGCCCUCCAGCCGCCAAGCCACCAGCCAAGGGGCCCAUCCGCAAGCAUGUGAUCUCUGCUGAGGGCCGGGGGAGGGAGAAGGGAGCCUGGUGGGAGGAGGAGGGAGAAGUGAUUCCUGAGAGAGGAGUGGGUGGCAGGAAAGGAGAGGAGGAACUUCUAAAGCGCUCUCAGAUGUGAAAAAAGAGACUUUUUCUCGAUUUUGAAAAGUCUUUAACAGCUUAAUGUGAGUUACCUGGAGCCCAGGUGUGAACGUAGCAAGGAGGCGUCGUGGAGGCUCUCAGAGCACUGCACUGUGGGUAAUGGACUCCUUUUGUGAGCCGUCAGUGUUCAUCAGCGCGGCCAAUCGAUGGUCGCCCCGACUCCAGGACGAAGGAGGAGUAAAGACUUCUCUUUUGAGUCUGGAGGGGUUCAGUCCAUCGCCGACGGCAACGCUCCCAGAGGGCCUCGUUCACAGGAACGAGAACGAUUGAAACCAUGAGAAAAAAGCUGGAAUAAAUCUUUAUAUAGUACUUCCUCUAUAUUUUACAGAACAGCUCCCUGAAUUUGUGAUUAUGGACUGAAAAUGUGUUUUAUAGGAAGAGGAUACAUAAUAAAUCCUGUAAAAGUAAUCAUGUGGGAUCAAACAAAAGAAGGGGAUUCUGCAGAAGGAAUGGAAAUAAGAUAUCCACGACAAUCCACAUAAAUACAUGAAUUGUUGGUAUUUUUGUAUGUUUACAGGGAGCUUCUCAGGAGAGGCGGAGCCUGCGACCUGGUGGUCGUCAUGGUGACAGACGAGGUAAAUGGAAGCCGUUGUUCAGCCGCAGGGUUCAACACCUCCAGUCCGUUUCCAGUCCUGGGGAGGCUGGUGGGCCUUUUGUCCUCCUCUUGUCGUGUGACGGGAGACGCAGGUCGGGAGGGGGAGGGAUGGGGGGCAGCUGCCAGGCGCUGUGACGCGCUCACAAAGCCUUUACUCUGCUAUCAGCUCCUUUUGUUGUUGGUUCUUUCCACCAUAUCUGAUGGACCGAGCUUAUCGCCGGGGAGGAACCCACCAGAACCAGGAGCGCUCCUUUUUAACACCAGGUCCCCGGAGGAACAGCGGUUUGAAUGUCACGUCCACGCCGUGAUGUCAGGAGAGAAGAUAAAGAUCUGAGUGGAUCAUCGCUCUGACACUAAAUUCAACAUUCAAUGCUUGCAUGCAGCUCACAAUCAUUAAAAAUAUACAUUCUGAUGUCGCUCAGGAUGAAAACAUAAUGCAAAGAUAAAGCCAACAUCAGGCAGUGCCGUGGUGGUUAACGGCGUUCUUUGUUGGGUCGGCAGAGUGAGGGGGUGGGGGGCAGAAGAACCAAGAAGAGAGAAAAAAAACAAGACAAAAAAAAGUUUGUCCGCGCUGUUUCUUUUGGGGAGUCGUGGGAAGACAAGCAGAUACAGUACAAGAUGUCACAUGUGAAGAACGGUAAUAAAAAGCGCUUUCAUCGUGAUCAUUUUGGGAGUCACUGUCUGAGGAGAGCAAGGUCAGAGGGCAAAAGCAAAAAGUGCCGAGCAGGCAGACGCAGUCUGAUGAGGAUGAGAGUCAGAGACACAUGUGGUCCUAUGGGACAUUCCGUUCUAUCCUGAAAUGAUUGUACUUUUUGUGUUUAUUAUCAUUGUAUAACUGUCACAGACAGAAGAUGCCAUCAGGACCACGUCAAACGAGUCCGACCGAGAAGCCAAACACAGGUCUCGCUUUGCUGUGGAAACAGCUGACAGUGCAGUGUAAGAGGUGCGCUUUAGAUCUCAGCCCGUUUUACACGUGUCAUCAUGAUGACAACAGAGAUUUGGGGAUUUGGGGAGGGGGUUGAUUGACAGAUGCCUCGUUAGAAUGAGCAGAUUGAACCACUGCUUGGGUUUAGGGGGGCUCAGACUUCUCAUCAUGCUCUGCUAACAUGUGAUCCUUCUGCACAUCCCGGCCUUCAACAUCUCACAAAAUAUCUGUUUGUGUUACUUUUAAUUCUGGAAAGAUACAAAUCAGGUUUUGGGAUUAGUUUUUGUGUCAGUCUGUAAAACCAGAGGCCUCAAUGCUUUGAGUGGGGACAGAAGGCUCGGCCCUCUGAUUGGCUGUUAGAUCCCCUUCAUCAGGUCACGACUUAAUCUAUAUUCUGUUUGAAAUCCAGAGUGAAACUCAACAGCAGCUGAAAGUCUUCCUGCUACAUUUACCUUCAAGCUUCUUCUUCUUUAAAAAAAAACAAAAACAAAUUCUUGCGUUGUUUGCCUGCACGUCUGUGAGCUCGGGUUCUUCUUCUCAUAUGAAUCGAUUAGUGGAGCGCAAAAGAAUACAUCUAUUGUCUGUAAAAAUCUCUGUGGAAAUCACUUCACAAAAGAUUUGAGGUGAAUUUAUUUAAGUUCUCUGACAUUUAGUUAAGAAAACAAUAAGUUGAUCAUUGAAGGGAACAAUUUGCAAUAAACAUGGCGAUAAUUCUGAGGCGAAGCGUCCGUUUGUGACAUGUGAGAGAAAAGGUCCUUAGGGAGUCCUGCUCCAUGGAUCCGGUUACUCACUGCAUGACUUACAUCAGUGGCGAAGUCAAAUACGCCAACUGAGACUGGGUGACAUCUCUUAUUACAAAGUUACCUGAUCUUUUUCAUUCAUGACCAAAAUGAACUAAAGCAGAGAGGAAGAUGUCGGGUCGAUAAUAAAAAUAAUAAAGACGACCCGUCCGGCGGUCUGUUGGGUGGAGGUCAUGUGUUGGUCCAACCCACACAGACCGGCUGGGAGUGAGUCAACAUUUAAUUGCAGUAGAAGACUUGUGGUGCAGUAAAAGUAAAAGUUUCAUUCUGAACAAAACAGAUGCUUAUCAGAGAUAUUUUAAGAGCAGAUUUAAAAUCUACCAGGUGACUAAAAUAUUUGUCUGCCGUUUCCACCUCUUGUCUUGACAGCAACAUUUUGAUGAUAUCGCUUGUGUUUCCCUGUGACAUGUUUGUCGACCCGUCCUUCCUGCCUCUCUUUGACUCCUGAGUGUCUCAGCCGAUGUGGCCGUGUUCACAUCAGAGUCACAUGGUUUAUUACAUGUGGUCCUUCACACACUAACAGCAUCACAAUGACGGCACAUUCUGCCGUUCCCCAAUGGGACAAGACAACAUUUUUCUACAUGAAUACACUUUUUGCAUAUUUUAAAAAGAACAUCCAUUCGUCCGUCCUCAGAAUAAUUCUAUCUAUGUUCUCACACUGAUCUGAAUAUUCCGCUUUCACAAAAUGAAAAAGUCGGCAGAAGACACGCUUGCCCACUUUGCUGUUAAUUGGUUUCUCAGCGAGCCGGUGACAGCCUGUGGGGGGGGGGCACAGACAUACACGGCUUUCCAUGCCGAACACGGAUGUCUAUCCGAGUGAUGGAGUCAUAUUAGUGGGUAAUACAGAAGUUCCAGUGGAGACUGUCGUUGGUUCGAUGGAAUUCUGUAUGUGAGGCGUGAGAUGCAGCAGGAAACAAAGAAGAAGAGAAACAUGAGAAUUCAUCGUUGGUUUUUACAGCAUAAGGAAAGGAAGUAAAUGUUCUUUAAGCAGCUCCACGUCCAGUGAGGACAAAGUGUUACACAUUAAAAGGUGAGAUUCUCUUUGGGGAAACAUGGACACGAGGAAAUAUCGCCAUAAUAAUCAUAAUGAGGAAGAGUGCCGAUCACAAUAUAUAAAGAAUAGGAUGAUUGCAGAGGGAGGCUGCAGCCCCCUGUGAGAUCUUUGUCCUUCAGCUCGAACUGAUCUGAUGUGUGCAUCCAGCCAUGGAAGGAUUUCAUCCUUUACAACUUCUCCUUUUUCCAAAUGAACAAACAGCGCCCUCGUCUCCAGCCACAUCCUGCAUGGUCUCACAGCUACGUUUCCAUGGCAACAGUGUCCAACUGGGUACAUGCCACAAAAAACAGAGCGGGAGAGAGAGAAAGUUUCUCGCUGGAAGAGCAAACCUGGCCAGGCUUUGACUGGCAUCAUAUGCUAUUGACUGAGAACUUGAGCUCUCUUCUAACGUUGGCUUGCAGCAACGUUCCCAUGGCAACCGCAUCCCGGGGUUCACUGGCCCCCGCUCUGUUUACCCCGCACUAAUGGCAAUAAUCAAUACACAUGAUGCAACUCUGCCAUUAGUCCUCACAGAGAGAGAGACUGGUCCUCUCUCUCUCUGUGUCAUUAGCUCUGAGUGGAUAAGCAAUGCAGGUGAGCAGAGGGAGAGUCAGUGUGUUGCGUGAUGCCGUGUUCACUCCAUUUGUAACGUAAUGUCAUUUUUUACAUCCUGUAACAGGAUAACAUAAAAGGUCUAUGCACAGACGAGAGUGACGCAAAUGUGCGAUAACGCUGCGCGUUGAUGUGAAGUCUGGUCGGCGAUUCAAGCCAACAUGCUAUCAGCGGCUAGCAUCAUGUACCGCUGGAAGUGGCAGGACGCACUUCCUGUAGAAGCUCAGUAUUUAGCUACGGGUGCUCUGGUCUCUGGAACCCUUCGUCUCGUCUAAUCUUCUGUUUGUGCAAACAUUACACAAAGGACACAAAGUUGCCCCUGGAUUUGUCUCUACCUUUUUCUGCUACCAUUCGCCCCCCUGUUAGCACCGUGUUAGCUGACUGUUAGCAUUCUGUAAGCUCUCUGUCCGCUCUCUCUUAAAACAACUUUUAUUAUUCCGUGUUUUGUAUGGGAUCAGUCUCAAUAUUUGUAAAUCCUUCUGUGUGCAGUUGUACAUCAAAUACAUUGUGAAUUGUUCUGUGCACAUUUGUGAGUCGUUCUGUGUGCAUUUGCAAUUAUUGCGACUGAUCUGACCCCAUAGUUUUGUGGUAUUUCUAAAAGUCUUCAGCCUCUUUAAGCAAUUUCUCCAUGUUUCUUUUACUCGUGAGGAUCGGGAGAAAAAAAGUGAGAAAGCACUUCUACAUUCUAAGGCGCGAUAGCUGAGGACUGUUGGAAAAAAGUUGCUGCCCUGAAUGUAAAUUUAAGAAAUUGCAAACGGCAGUGUUUUUUUUUUUCAUAGCGGACAAUGUGAGGAUGCUUUGAAGCUGGUGUGUUGAUUCCCGCAUCAGCACGCUGGCUUUAAUCUUCCACAUUUGUUGUUCCUUUAAUCUCGGUUCUGUUGUUUGCUCCUAUUUUGCGCACAAGGAUCAUCGCGGCUCCGGCUUAUUUCUCUCACUGCUCCGGAGUGCUGCUCCCCAUCGGCGAGUCCGACUCCGCACGCCACCGGCCAAACCCACGCAGCCAGGAGGCGUUGGGCCGAGGUGCGAUGGUUAAACCGGAGCAUCUCUGGCUCGCCGCACACACACACGCAUCAUUUCCACCCGUCUCCACUCUGGCUGCUUUUCUUCUGCCGGUUUAAUGCUGCCUCGGGCUCAGCGGCUCUUGGCCGCGUUCCUCUCCUGUUUGAGUCUGCCACAAGAGAGGCCUCCUUAAAGGAGGAGGAAUAAAAAGAUGUCUUUAGAGCGCUUGGAGUCUGUGAUGAGCUGAUUACCGCUCAGAGGAUGCGACUCGUCCUUCUGAUCCAACCCGCCAUGAAGCAACGCCGACACAUCUCACAAAGGCUUGCUCCGACGGAAAGAGAAAAGAUUCAACAACUGCCAGUUUUUGCAUUUGAAAAUUGGCUCCGAUAUUUGCUGCUUCCAGAGGUAACUAUGUAGACUUUGGUGACCCCUUGACCGCUCCUCUGGCAUUCUGAUGGAAUCUUAAUUCCACUGGUUUGGUAAAAGAUAUUCAUGAUACAUCCAUAAGGAAUAUCUCUGUGUUCAUAGUCCCAGGAGGAUGAGUUCUAAUUAUUUGAGUGAUCCUGUGAUCUUCAUUCCUCUGUAAGCAUCAUCCCACAGACAAUCUACAUCUAUGGCAGUGGAAACCAGGGCUGGGCGGUACACCGGUCCAAUACUUCCAAUACCGUUCAUACCCGUGUUACGCCAUAACAACUGACGUUGCUCAGAAUAUAUUCCUACACGACAUCGCUGAGUGUUCAGCGGUCAAACCUACUGGCCUUACGUGUGUUGAGAUAGAGUCAUGGUUAUAACUUUAUGACAACAAUGAAUAACGCACAACAAAGACUCCUUAACAGGGUAAAACACCACGACACAACAGCUUGUGACACAAAACCAUUUGUAACACGAGUUCAGGUUGCCGCGGCCCUUUUUCGGGCUCAAUGAAUUAAUGUCUUUAAAAAGCAAUGCCGUCACAUACCGGGAUACCGUCAGAAUCUUUUUAUUUUUGUCCAUACCGUCCAGCCGUAGGCGAAGCUGUACAAGCGAUGAAAAAAUAAAAUGAUUAUAAAGAGAUUCAGCAGGGUGAGCAUCAGAGGGGCAGCAUUUGAACAACUUAUAUGUAUAUGUCUCUCUCUCUCUCUCUCUCUCUCUCUCUCUCUCUCUCUCUCUAUAUAUAUAUAUAUAUAUAUAUAUAUAUAUAUAUAUAUAUAUAUAUAUAUAUACACGUACGUUACUCACACAUACGUAUAUGGACUACUUGGUGAAAGUCUGGUAUUUGUUGACCAGCUCGUCUCGAUUCUCUUACUGUGGAUCCUACAGCGGCCCUGGAUACCUAUGAACUGAUCCUGUGGGCUGUGAAUGAAUGAGAGUUCAUUCCUUUUAAUAAAUAUUACAUUACAUCACAUGUCAUUUGGCUGACGCUUUUGUCCAAAGCGACUUACAAUGAGUGCAUUCAACCAUAAGGACACAAACCCAGAAGAACAAGAAAGUGAAAUUUCCUCAAAUAAGCCGAUGUACAACUCGCUGUAGAUAAGAACCAUUAUAAGUCCAAUGUAAGUGCUCCAGUUAGUUAGUGUGUUAGUGGAGGUAGAGUCUGAAGAGGUGUGUCUUUAGUCUGAAGAUGUGAAGGCUCUCUGUGGUCCUGAUGUCUUCAGAGACCUCCUUCCACCAUUUAGGAGCAGGACAGCAAAGAGUGGAGAUCUAGUGGAGUGUUUUGCUCUCAGUGAGGAGGAACAAGCAGUUUAUCAGAUGCAGAGCGGAGAGUGCGGGUCGGGGUGUCGGGUUGGACCAGGUCCUGGAUGUAAGCUGGACCCCAAUCCAUUCACAGCAUGGUACGUGAGCACCAUGUUUAGAACUGGAUGAGCCACUGGUACCAGUGAAGAGAGCGGAGGAGUGGAGGAGUGAGGGAGAACUUAGGAAGGUUAAAGACCAGUGGAGCUGCUGCAUUCUGGAUGAGCUGCAGAGGUGGUGCCUUCUGAGUGAGAAGAGGACGUGUUCUCCUGAUGUUGUAGAGCGUGUAUCUACAGGAUGGUGUUGUCGCAGUGAUAUUGGGAGUCAGGGAGAGUCGGCUGUGUCACGCCGAGGUUCCUGCAGUUAAAGUGAGUUGCCAAAGUUAACCGUAAAGUCCUGGAUGGGAGAAUCUUUUCCCGGAAAGAGAAGUAGUUCAGUCUGUCGGGGUUGAUUUUCAGAUGGUGGGCGGAUCCACUGAGAGAUGUCAGUCAGACAGGCAGAGAUUCGAGGAAGGGAAGGAGAGAAUUAGUUGGGUGUCAUCAGCAUAGCUGUGGGAGGAGAAGCCAUGCGAGCGAAUGACAGCGCCGAGAGAGUUGGUGUAAAGCGAGAACAGGAGGGGACCCAGGACGGAACCCUGAGGAACUCCCGUAGUAAGAGGACAAGGUUCCGACACAGAUCCUCGUCAGGUUACCCGGUAGGUCCGGCCGUCGAGGUAGGACGAGAGAAGGGAGAGAGCAGAGCCUGAGACACCAAGUUCCUGAAGGGAGGAAAUAAGGAUCUGGUGGUUGACUCUGUCAAAUGCAGCAGAGACGUCCAGAAGGACGAGGACAGAGGAGAGAGAGGAGCUCUAGCAGUGUGGAGUUGCUCUGAGACAGCAAGGAGAGCAGUCUCUGUGGAACGGCCUUGAAGCCUGACUGGUGGGGGUCAAGGAGGUUGUUACAGUGGAGAUCGGAGGAGAGUUGAUUAAAGAUCGCAUGUUCAAGAGUUUUGGACAGAAAGGGAAGAAGAGAGACCGGUCUGUAAUUGUUUUCUUCAGAAGGGUUGAGGGUGGGUUUCUUCAGGAGAGGGUUGACUCUUGCCUCCUUCAGAGAAUUGGGAAAACAGCCAGAUAACAGAGCAUUGUUGAUGAGACAGGUGAGGAACGGAAGAAGAUCAGGUGCAAUAGAUUGUAGAAGAUGCGAUGGAAUGGGUUCAAGAGGGCAGGUGGUCGGACGGGCAGAGGUUACUAGGGUAAGAAUUUGGUUAGGAGACAGGGGGGUGAAGGAGGAAAGUGAGGGCAAUAGAGGUGAAGCCAGUGGGAUGCAAGAAGUAGGAGGUGGGUUUGAGAAAGAGGAGCGUAUGUCAGCUAUUUUCUUGGUAAAGUAGUUGACAAAGUUACCCGGAAGAAGCGGGAGGGGGGAGAAGCACUAGGGGGUUCGAGGAGGUUGGAGAAGAUCGAAAAGAGUUAGAAAAUGAAGAUUUGACUCUGGAUUGGUAGAAAGAGCUUUUGGGAGCAGAGAUAGAAGCAGAAAAAGAGGAGAGAUUGAAAUUCCAGAAGGUCGUCAGGUCGUUUAUAUUUACGCCAUCUCCUUUCCGAUGCUCGCAUGGUGGCUCUCAUGGCACCGGUUGAGACAGCCACGGAGCCGGAGGGGAUUUGCCAGUAAAUCAUAGAGAAAAAGACAUAAGUAGACUGAGAAAAGAGAGAAGGAACAGCGAGUUAAUGAAACGUUCAAACGUGUCUUCAUUACGUCAAGGCAACUUGCUCCGUUUGGACGAAGGCAGAAUCGACAUCAGAGAACCCGACUCCCCGUUCACGCCCCAGAGCUCCGCCCACUUUGACUCUGACUGACAGCUGGUUGGUCGAGCUGCCCUCAGGCUCCAAUCCCAUCCCCCCCUUUACGGACUCACGGACUAUGAGGAGCACUCAUACUCAUGACCUGCUGAGGGCUCGGUUCCAUCCCAUGGCAACACACACAUCAGCCACAACACAUCGCAAUGUGAAUACGCAGUGAAAGCAUUGAGGCGAUGAGUGAAAUGUCAAAAGGCUUCUGUAGGAAAUUUAAGAGGUUCUUUUGGUCUGCAGAGUUUAGCUUCAUCUCAGGAAGGUUCACUAUGGAGCCAAUACCAGGCCAAAAGUUUUGAUCAUUUGAAAAACAAAUGUGAACUUGUUCUUGAAAGCUUCGUUUGUUCAGUUGUCACUCAUGAUGACACGCCCCUCUCAGUUGAUGCCCCGCCCCCUACGCCGGAUCAGGGCCAAAAGUCUGAAUGUGAGAAAAGAUAAAAAAGUGAAUGUAAGAUUUGAAGCUGAAUAGAUAAAAUCUGCAACCGAACUGAGUCAAAACUAUAUUAAACCCCAAAAUACUUUUUGUCCACUCAUUUUCAUUUUUAAUACAUUGUUGUAUUUUUCAAUGUGAAGGACUGAAUGAAUAAUGUGAUUUGUAUUGUCUUUAAAAAUAUAUCUGAGAGUUGGAUCAAAUAUGUUCAUACCAACUUCUCUUAUGUCGAAAGCUCAUUUCACUGUUGAAAGUAACUAAAGCGACAUAAGACAUAGGAAUUGACCUUUGAGGUAGUUAGUUAUGGUUAUGGUUAAAGUUUCAAAGCCCACAUUAUGCCGGUAUCUAGUGUUUCCCUCUCACUCAGCAGUCGGUUACGUGGAGUUUUUUUUCUGCCUGAAAGACCCAGAAAAGCAGAAAAAAGCGAAAAUAUGGCAAUUAAAUAUUCUCGGAGGGGUGUUGUGACCUCUCUGCUUUGCUCUUCCUGCAGCGUUUCUUCACUUCGGCGGCUCUCGGACUUUCAAACUGUUUUUAAUAAGACAACCACUUCCCCCUUAUCCCAGAUAAAGCCCCUCAGUCUGGAGCCCCCGGAUCUGAAAAGAGCCUCCCACUUAAAUCUGCAGAUCAACUCAAACAGCGACAUGAGAACGUUUGAUCACAUCUGGUGCAACACUGUUCACAGAGCACAGUCCCAUCAAAAGAACUUAAAAAGACUGAAGAGGAUUCACCGCGGUCUGAACACGGACCCAAGAAGCUACUUCUGUCAAACCAAUGCACCACAUUCUAAACUAAGUUCCUCUACAGGAGGCCGCCUGAUGCUGCAUGAAGCAGAGAGGCGUACGACGCUGCAUCCGUCUCCCCUUGAUGCUGCGCUGCAGAUCUUUACAGGUAUCAUCGGUUUCCUUUAUCAGAACAGAAAGACUCUGUUCCCUGGUUGAACGGUGUGGAGAGGCAAUUACUUCCUAUAUGCUUCUAUAGAAAACGACAAUCAGUGUUUUCUUAUGUGACAAAGACACAGAAAAAAAGCACUUACUGUUUGAUGAUAUUCACUUUUGAAAUGUCGUUCCUGCUUCGUCUGUACAGUGAAGGAAAUAAUAAUUUGUCUUCAGGUGAUCUUCAAUUUCCAAAGAAAUGCAAAAUAGAAAUGAACACAGACAUCUUGACACUGGGAAAAAAUAAAUAUGUAAAACAAACUUUCAUCUGAAUUAGUACUUUUGUUUUGUGACGGCUGAAAUGUGUGUCACAUAAAGAUUAAAUUGUGUUUGUGUAAAGGCAAGACGGAACAUAUCCGGGCCUGAAACGAUGGAUGUUAGAGUUGACAUUACGUUGAAGACAAACCUCAAACGUUGCAGUGAUUUUUCACUUAUUAAGGGAAAAUAGAGCCGUCUUUAAAUGCCUUUGAAUGUCUUUGAAGACCCUUUUCGGCAACUCGCUCUGAGAAGUCCGUUGUCACAAUGUCAGCUCCUGUUUCAUGGAUAUGAAACAUUUCUCCCAAAAAUGAUUUAAUCCGUUAUUACGACAUUUUUGUUUUCAAGAUAUAUUUCAGCAAUGUACACCGUGUGGGGAAUUUAGAACCCAAUUUAGAUGUGAGUGAAUGGUUGAGACCAUCUAAAGAAACAUUAUCACGUAAUAAUUGCUGAAUAUCUCAGUACCUUGACUGACUCAAUUAAAGUGCCUGUGAUUAUAUUUGUAACAUUGGUAUUACAUUACAUUACAUGUCAUUUAGCUGACGCUUUUAUACAAAGCGACUUACAAUAAGAACAUUUCAACCAUAAGGAUACAAACAAGAAAGUGCAAUUUCCUCAAAUAAGCCAAUUUACAACUCGCUGUAGAUAAGAACCAUUAUAAGUCCAAUGUAAGUGCUCCAGUUAGUUAGUGUGUUAGUGGAGGUAGAGUCUGAAGAGGUGUGUCUUUAGUCUGAAGGUGUGAAGGCUCUCUGUGGUCCUGAUGUCUUCAGAGACCUCCUUCCACCAUUUAGGAGCAGGACAGCAGAGAGUGGAGAUCUAGUCGAGUGUUUUGCUCUCAGUGAGGAGGAACAAGCAGUUUAUCACAUGCAGAGCGGAGAGUGCGGGUCGGGAUGUCGGGUUGGACCAGGUCCUGGAUGUAAGCUGGACCCCAUCCAUUCACAGCACGGUACCUGAGCACCAUGUUUAGAACUGGAUGAGCCACCGGUACCAGUGAAGAGAGCAGAGGAGUGGAGGAGUGAGGGAGAACUUAGGAAGCUUAAAGACCAGUGGAGCUGCUGCAUUCUGGAUGAGCUGCAGAGGUGGAAUGGUGGUAGCAGGAGACCUGCAGGAGAGAGUCACAGUAGUCCAGGAGGGAGAAGAGCCUGAAUCAGUACCCGGGCAGCCUUCUGAGUGAGAAGAGGACGUGUUCUCCUGUUGUUGUAGAGCGUGUAUCUGCAGGAUCGUGUUGUCAGUGAUGUUGGGAGUCAGGGAUGUUAUAAUGCGGUGCUUAAUCAUAAACACGAGGACACUCUUCCAGGUCUCACCUCACUGGGUUGUAAACUUUAAUACAUUUUCACGUCGCGUGUACGGUCCAUCUUGCUCGGUCUGGUUACAAGGCAGUGUUUCACAAUAACAGUCCGUGUGACUCACGGAACUAAACAAUAGUUCCUACUUAUAGUUCCUAUUGUUACAAGGGAGAGUCGGCUGUCAAGUGUCACACCGAGGUUCCCAUCACGGAACAAUGUAUAAUUAUGUUCAUUAACUCAUUAACAUCAUGUUAAAUAAAGGCUACACAAAGGUCAAGUGUAGGACUUGGAGUCUCCGUACUGCCUGAAGAUGGUUUUGUCUUCUUUGUCUUUCAUAAUCCUUGUUACGUUUCCACCUCAGUUGGAGCUCAAUGGAGGUGGGGAACGUAAACGCCUGUGCUUACGCACCCAGUGUAACCAGCGGUGGACGGUGAAGUAGUGUGGGGUGCAGCUGACCAAAAAUAAAGAGGCAUGACACCCGAAACUCACUUUUGGUUCUUGUGGGACAUUUAGUAAAACAAAAAGACAAAACACAAGAAAGUACACACACAACCCAGGAAGGGAGGAAAAGGGUGUCAUGCCUCUUCAUUUUUGGUCAGCUGCACCAUUUUCUGAGGCAUUUCUUGCGUUCGUAAUUACGCACACGUCGCCUGGGUAGCAUGCUUGACUUAAUUAACUCUGUGCUUGCUCCUAUGUGGACUGGAGAAGAAGUCCCGUGUUCUACAUUUGUGAUCCCAGGAAGUUCAGAGAAGGCUGCUGGUGAGAUAGAAAAGACAAUGGUCUCCUCUGGUGACGGUUGAAGAGUGCUAUUGACUAGGCGUAUCGAAGCUAAUAGCUUCUCCCUAGCCAAGGAUCUGAGUUUAGCUAAAUGUUUUGCCUCGGUUGUGAAGUUGGAGAAAACCACUAAGACAGAUGUGAAAUAUUACAUUGAGGACGGUCUACUAAUGAGAAUAUGGACUCCCAGUAUGGACCCAGGGAAGGAUUGGAGUUCGGUUUUGCAGAUUGUAGUUCCAGCCUUGUUUCGGACAAAUGUAAUGUCUUUAGCUCAUGAUAUUCCCUGGUCUGGUCAUUUAGGGGUGACUAAAACGUAUAAUCGGCUCCUCCGUCAUUUCUUUUGGCCGGGAAUGAAACAGGAUGUUGCUUGUUUCUGCCGUACAUGUAGUACGUGCCAAGUGGUAGAGAAGCCUAACCAGGUAGUUUCCCCCGGCUCCUCUAUGUCCGAUUCCGGUGAUGGGAGAGCAGUUUGAGAAGGUGUUAAUUGAUUGUGUUGGUCCCUUACCACGGACUAAGUCCGUAAAUCAAUUCAUGCUUACAAUAAUGUGUACUGCUACUAGGUACCCUGAAGCAAUUCCUAUGCGUACAGUCACCAGUAAGGCAGUGGUGAAAGACGUGAUUAAGUAUUUCUCUACUUUCGGGUUCCCCAAAAACCAUAUAAACGGAUCAAGGAACAAAUUUUACAUCUAAAUUGUUUGAGGGAGUGUUGAAGACCUUGUCGGUGACCCAUCAGUUGUCUAGUGCUUGCCACUCGGAGAGUCAGGGUGCGCUGGAACGUUGGCAUCAGACCCUAAAGGCCAUGUUAAGUAAAUACUGCAAGGACACGGAGAAGGAUUGGGAUGAAGGGAUUCCAUAUGUGCUGUUUGCUAUUCGGGAGACUGUGCAAGAGUCUCUUGGGUUUAGCCCCGCUGAGCUAGUCUUUGGUUACACGGUGAGAGGCCCUCUAAAGAUACUGAAAGAACAAAGUAUGGCUAGGGAUACAACGGGGUCUUCUACUAACAUUCUGGACUAUGUAAGUCAAGUCCGAGAAACGUCACAUUGACAUGAUUAAAGCAUAUCAGGUUAGAGAUGGUUCCAAAUCUGUUACAAGUACAAUUCCGGUGGUUGCCUCUGUUGUCGCUGUUAACCUGGUUACCCAACCUGGAGUCUGGGUAACUGAUGAGGACAGUUUGGUGAUGCAAAAUACUCCAGAGCAGUGUGCUCGUUUGGGUAAUUCUGAGAUGUUGGCAUCUCUUCCCUCACAUUUGGCGGAUUUGAGUGAUCAGCAGAGUCCUGAUAUAAAGUUACUAAUUUCUGAGUCUUAUUAAUGUGUUGAAACACGAUAUAAAGGUAAGCGAUGAUGCGCCAAUCAAACAAACGUAUCGUGUUAAUUUAAGUCAGAGAUCAGUAAUGAACGCCGAGGUAAAUUAUUUAAUAAAAAAUGGAAUGGCAGUCCCCAGUAGCAGUCCCUGAUUGCUGAUUCCAAAGCCAGACGGGACACACAUGUUUUGCACGGACUACCGUAAUGUGAAUAAGGUUACGAUCCCUGACUCAUUUCCUUUACCUCCCAUGGAUGUUUGUAUCGACACCAUUGGAUCAGCUGCUCAUGUCACUAACUUGAUUUGUUAAAAGCAGAGGUGUCAAAAGUAUUCACAUUCAUUACUCAAGUAGAAGUACAGAUACUAGGGUUUAAAAAGACUCCUGUAGAAGUUGAAGUAAGUUGAGUACCAACUCAAGCUUUUUACUUAAGUAAAAGUAUAAAAGUACUGGUUUCAAAACUACUUAAAGUAUAAAAGUAAAAGUAAUGUAAGAAAUUCCAUUAAGGACAAACUCUUAAUGCGUAACCUCGCUCACACAACACGUCAGUCCGUUACAAUAUGAUCAGAAGGUGCCUGCAGAUCACGUGACCUGCCGUUGAGAUGAUGGAAACAUGGCGACAUUCAGAGACACAACAAAACAACACGUGUAUCUGACUUAAACAGAUAAAACCACAACCCAUUUUCCAGUGACACGAGUCACACACGUUGUUCGCAUUGAUUAGGUAGACUGCAAUGUUUCCCCCAGGUUUACUACGUCAUGGGGGGGUGGGGGGCGCACCCCUGUUUAUAAUGAUGGAAACACUGAACUGGCAGCGGUCGGUUAUCAAAACAUUGGCCAAAUAACCAGAAUGUUCAGGCUUUAUGAGAAAAUACAGAAUCCCUUUGUGUUCAUUUGCAAAGCCACGUUAAGACACACAUCACUUUAUUUAAUACGCUGCACUACUUGCAAGUCGCUGUGUUGUGCCAGACUCUCAAUAAAACAUUUAGGACAAACCCACAGUCAUGAAGAUACUCAUUUAACGUUACAUGGAAUCUGCAUGAGGAAGAGGAGGAGGAAGAGGAGCAGGGUCCAUGUCGCUAAAUACCAACUUUCCACCGACCACUUUUCUCACCCGGUGUCGCUCCGAUCUGCUGGCGCAUCGCGGAGAAAACCAAUCGGGUGUCUGGAUGCUAAAUGUUUAUACUUCUCAUCCUAACAAAAUCAAAUGCACUCUGUCCGGAUAGCGUGAUUAAUCUGAAUAGGUUGUUUUUGUGUUUGUGUUUUUGAACUACGACAAGCCGGAAGUAACGAGACUGUCUUUAAAAUGUAAGGAGUAGAAAGUACAGAUAUUUGCGUGAAAAUGUAAGGAGUAGAAGUAAAAAGUUGUCUGAAAAAUAAAUACUCCAGUAAAGUAUAGAUACCCAAAAUUUCUACUUAAGUACAGUAACAAAGUAUUUGUACUUUGUGACCUGACACCUCUGGUUAAAAGGGUAUUGGCAGGUACCUUGAACCCCUCGGGCCUCUGAGGUGUCGGCUUUUGUAACCCUGGACAGUUUCUGCCAGUACACGGUGAUGGCGUUUGGAAUGAGGAACGCCCCAGCCACGUUUCAACGGUUGGUAAAUAUCGUAUUGUCGGAUAUUCCUGAUUGUACAGCAUACCUGGACAACCUAGUGAUUCAUUCGACUACCUGGCCUGAUCACGUAGGCACGUUGAGGGCUGUGUUUGCACGCUUGGCCAGUGCAUCGUUAACCCUCCACUUGGCCAAAUGUGAAUUUGGAAAAGCAACUGUAACGUAUUUGGGUAAGGAGGUGGGAAGAGGUCGGGUUCGCACCGUAACUGCCAAAAUAGCCGGUUUCCUGCCCCUGCUACUCUGCGUGAAUUGCGCAGGUUGUUGGGCAUGACUGGGUAUUAUCGAACCUUUUGCAAGAAUUUCUCCUGUCGUAGCCCCACUGACCCAAUUACUCAGUCCUUCUGUAUCAUUUAAGUGGACUGAUGAGUGUCAGUCUGCUUCUGAGUCUGUGAUAGACCUAUUAUGCACUUCUCCGGUUCUUUCUGCCCCUGAUUUUGAAAACCAUUUAAGUUAGAGGUGGGUGUGGGUGCUGUACUGUUGCAGGAACAUGAUGGAGUAGAUCACCCAGUUUGUUACUACUCAAAAAAAUUCAACAGUUGCCAGUCCCGUUACUCUACCAUAGAACAGGAGACUCUGGCGCUGUUGUUUGCAUUACAGUUUUUUGCAAACUUGUUUUUGUCAAGUUUAUGUUGGCUCGAGUGUAUUGCCUGUUGUGGUAUAUACUGACCACAAUCCUUUAGUUUUUUUGGGCCGCAUGUACAACCACAACCAACGUCUCAUGCGUUGGCCGUUGGUUAUAGAAAGUUAUAAUUUAGAGAUAUGACACAUAAAGGGGUCAGAAAAUGUGGUUGCUGAUGCUCUGUCUCGUUUUUAAAUGGAAAGGCCUGUGAUCUUUUUGUGUUCGAUUACUUCUCUAACUUUUGUUGGGACCACUGUAAAAGUUACUUACAGACCAUGUCGUAAUCCCACGACAUGUCCCAUGUUUUGUUCUGUGCCUUUAACUGUGCCCCUUUCUCGGUUCACAGGUGUGCGGUGCUGGGUGGCUGUUGGCGAGGAGGCGUGGCCGGUGAAGACCUGGGGAGUAAUCGGCUAACGAGCUGAUUGCCUGUAGAAACCAGCCUGGUUGCUGCAGAGGAAAAAGAGAAAGGAGGGAGAGGCCUUGUGUUUUGUAUGGCCUGUCAAAGACGUUUUGUGUUGAAUCCUGCCGGGUGAGAUCCCGUUGUGCUCUACCGGAGUUCUGGAGAAGGUGCAGGUAGUUCUGCCCAUGUGUGUACAUUUGCAUCACGUAGGUAAAUCUUUGUUACACACACUGUGUUAGCUGGGCGGGGGUCACCCCUGUAGUUUUGGCCAUAGAGAGGUAAGCUGGUUAGGGAUAGACUGUGUUAGGCAGACUGUGUAGAAGAAAAGGGACCUUUUGUUUAUUUCAUUACUUCUCCCCCCUUCCUUGGUUGUGUGUGUACGUCGGCUGCUGGUUACACUGGGUGCGCAAGCACAGGCGUUUAAUUUCCCACCUCCAACGAACGUAACAAUCCUCCACUCGAGAAAUUCGUGUGAGGCCUUAAAGCUUUGUCACUUUUAGUGAUGGACGUUCGGAUCAUUUUACUGACUCUGUUCUUUCAAUCUCUAUCAGUAAAAUUGUUGCGUCCCCCACCUCUGGUGUUUGUUGCUACACGUGUUUGGGUGCAGGCUGUGUCCUGAUUACAGAUGAGCCGCACCUGAGCAGAACCUGUGUUGGCGCUACAAAGGCUUCCUGGACCGUUCUCGGGGGGGUGGGGGGGGCACACAGAUCCCUCAGAGUGCACAACGGUGCUGCUGCUGCCAAGAUCGCCGUCCACCCGGCAGUGAAAAUGUUCCGCAUUUGUAUUAUUUAGUUUGUUAAGAUACCAUUUAAUAUCCAUUUUGUUAAAUAAAAUACCCCUAGAUUAUUUUGAUACACGUAACAAAACAGAACAUCUUUUUUCCAUUCAUUCAUUUCAACGGGGGGGGGGGGGGGGGGGCUAAAUGCGUCCACUGCCAACACGUAGCAUAUUCUCAUGUAGGUUAGUGCAUGUAAACCAGUAGAUACUAAUUCAUAAGGAAAUUCUUGCAUUAAAAUAAUGUAUCAUGACAGUUUGGAUGAUUUGAACCGCUCAUUUAUUAUCACACUUUCUUCUGACUAUCAGUCUAUAACCAUCCCGAUGCGCCGCCACGAGAAAAUGAACAAAUUUUGUUCUGAAAGACUCGUUACUCCGAGUCCUUCAGAACGGACGAUGUCACUUUAUCUGAUGUCUUAUUGAAGAAAAGAACCAGUCACAUGUCUUCACCACACUUUCCACCUUCAUCCUUGCGCAACGUUCAGGUGGCGUGUGUGUGUGUCCUGGUUUUCUCUCAGCGGCGUCAAGCUCUCUGUUGCACUCCGACCCCUAAAGGACCCUACCAACCCCCCGGUGACCUCUGACCAUGUUGUGUUCCUGUUCUACAUUGAACAGUCCCGCCGCUCUUUUCCCUCUUCCAGCGGCGAGCUCGCGGGCAGCAGACGCUCUUGCUGGGCUGCCAAACGUGUUGCAGAAAAAUGUGUUUGUGAAACGCUUUCCAGGAAGAGUUGAUCAGUUUAACCUCCAUCGUCCCUGCUGAGUCCUGAGGCUCCAUCACAACAAUCUUCUGUUUUAUUUAAAGAACCUCCAGGAAAACCAACAGAUUGUGUACUGAAUGAUUGCUGAAAUGUUUGUUUGUGAAUGAACAUAAACUUGAAUUAUUUCAAUGGUAAUUAUUGGAAUAUAUUUAUAGGAAACACGUAUUUCUCUACAUUUAGCUCAUUUGACUGCCCUGAUUAAUCUGAAAUCUGAGGGAUCUCUGGUCACCUUCCUCUACAUCUUUAUCUUCACCAGGAGGAAACUGUCUGCUUUUGUUCCUUUGAUGCUCACAUGUUCAUGUGUGUCAGAUGCUUGACAGAUAGGAGAGAUUUUACACUUUAUUGCAAAAUGCAUGACAAUCGAUAAGUAACCACAGCACUCCACCCUUUAAUGCUGAAGGUGAAGUUAAACCUUCUCUGUGGACACACAAACUCUCCUCCAAACUAUCAGGAGACAUCUGACGAUGUCUCCGAGGACGUCUCCGGAUGCCUUCGGAGACGUCCGGUGACAGUUUGCUGCCAGCCUGACGAUAAAGGAGCAGGUCCUGAGGGAUCUGGACCCGGGCCGGGCCUCGUGGCAGCAGAACAGAGGCCUAGCCGGGCAUUAAUAUGGAUGUCCACCAGGCGCCUCUCUGUGCGAGCUGCCACCAGCCGCUCUGUGCCAGCCAAUAGCAGCGCAGAGGCUACCUGCCAAGGUCAUCAAUAAACAUCCUCAGAUGGCUCCUUGUGUCUCCAGCACAGCGGCCUGGAGAGGGUCCACGGGGGGUACUUUCACUGCUCAGAACUUUGCUUGCUUCAGAGACAGCAGCAGAUAAAGUACUUCUGCUACUGAGACAAUCGAUGGAACAUCAAGAAGCUGCCUGUUGAAUUCUCCAUCUGGUCCAUUUGGUGACUUAUGUGUAGAUUAAAUAGGCGGGAUGUGUGUCAGCGUUAAACCCAAAGUGACUCACUCCGCUAACACCUAACGUCACAUUUCAGGGGCUGGAGAGAAAAAAACACAAAUCCUGUAGAAACAUCAGUCCAAAGAGU
Long non-coding RNA from Gasterosteus aculeatus aculeatus (three-spined stickleback), 33869 nucleotides. NCBI's taxonomy places the organism in Eukaryota, Metazoa, Chordata, Actinopteri, Perciformes, Gasterosteidae. The record is from Ensembl.